Molecule: long non-coding RNA, 1724 nt
Filed under: Ananas comosus (pineapple)
Lineage: Eukaryota; Viridiplantae; Streptophyta; Magnoliopsida; Poales; Bromeliaceae
Description: long non-coding RNA (ACOM_LNC028185)
Source: RNAcentral
UAUCAGCCCAAUUCUUUCUCGAAUUUUGAAAAUAUCUCUUAAACGAUCUCAUACAUAUCCCUUUCCAUUCAAAAUUCGAUUUCGGAUUUUGAAUCUCCAACCAACUCCUUAAAUAUCAUUUUCUCAACGAAUCACAUGCACAUCCCCAAAAUUCAAGUUUGAACUUCAAAACAUUCAAAUUUCGAAUUUUUGAACUCCCAACCAACCCUCAACAACUCGAUUCAAAAUUCGAUUUGAAUCCCCAACCGACUCCUCAAAAUAUUUCUCGCCCAACCCCACGAAUCGCUCCGACUCAUCAGAUUUCCCCUUCUACUAUAAAUAUGAGGAUAAAAAAAGAUGAUACAUAGAGAUAGAGGAAGUGAUAGAGAGAGGAUAGCGAUACAGAGGGGUUAAUUACAUCAUUGGUCCCCAACCUUUACACCAUUUUUCAAUUUGGCUCCCAACCUUUAUUUUUUUGCAAUCAAGUCCCUAAUCUUUGGAUUUUAUUAUAAUUACGUCCCAGCCAUUAAAAAAACUAUUAGAAUUAACGGAAUCGCCACAUCAGCGCCUAUCUGUCAUCUCUUUUGCAUGUUCAUUUUAGUCCCUAAACUUUGCAUGUUUUUUAUUUUAGUACAUAAAAAUAAAAAUUUUAAAUUUUAAAUUUAAAUUCAAAAAUAUUAUUAAAAUUAAAAUUUUAAAACUAACGAGAAAUUAGAAUUUUGAAAUUGUAUUUAAUGUUGGAUUAAACUUUUGAAUUGAAAUUCAAGUUUUAAAUUUGAAUUUUAAAUUGAAUCUAAAUUUUGAAUUCAAACUCAAAAUUUUGAUUUUGAUUUUGAUAUUUCAAUUUACAUUUAAAAUAAAAGUUUGGAAACUUAAAAUUUUGAUUUUGAUUUUGAUAUUUCAAUUUACAUUUAAAAUAAAAGUUUGGAAACUGAAAUUUAAAUUUAAAAUAUGAAGUUAAAUUUAAAAUCAUAUUCAAAAUUUUGAUUUUAAAUUUUAAAUUUGAAUUCAAAAUUUUGAUUUUAAAUUUUAAAUUUGAAUUCAAAAUUUAAAAUUGAAUUUAAGAUUUGAUUUCUAAAUUUGAAUUUAAACUCGAAUUCAAAUUCACAUUUUGAAUUUGAAAUUUCAAAUCAAAGUUUGAAAUUAAAUUAGAAUUUACAAUUAAAAAUGUGAAUUUGAAUUUAAAAUUUAAAUUUUAAAAUUAAAUGCAAAAUGGGAUUUUGAAUUCAAAUUUAAAAUUGAAUCCAAAAUAAAAAUUUAAAUUUAAAAUUUAAAUCUUAAGUUAAAAAUCUUGUUUUGAAUUUAUAAAUUUAAUCGGUUAAUUACCCCAUUGGUCCCCAACCUUUGCACUGUUUUUCAAUUUGGCCUCCAAACUUUUUUUUUUGCAACCCGCUGACACAGCGCUUACGUGGCGCUGACAUGGCGCCUACAUGGCGUUGACAUGGUGCUGACGUGGCAUUUUCCAUUAAUUUUAACACUUUUCUGACGGCUGGGGCUUAAUUGUAAUGAAAUCAAGAGAUUAAGGACUUGAUUGCAAAAAAAAAAAAAGGUUGGGGACCAAAUUGAAAAAUGGUGCAAAGGUUGGGGAUCAAUGGUGUAAUUAACCCCGAUAUGGAGAGAGAAUACGAUACUAUAAAUAUGAGGACAAAAAAAGAUGACACAUAGAGAUAGAGGAUAGUUAUAGAGAGAGAAUAGAGGAUAGUUAUAGAGAGAGGAUAAUGAAACGGAGAAAGAAUACGAUACAA